AGAGGUCAAGCUGAUCAGAGCAGAGAUGCUGAAUAAGAACACAGAAUUUUGGGAAAGUGAAUGAAUUCCAGACACGCUGACAGUAACAUCAGAAGAGGCAGUUGGGAAAAGAUGCACAAUUCAAAAAUCUGGCAGAUGCUUUGUGGCAUCAGAUGCUUUAAAAUGCUUGAAGUACCAAAUGAAGUUGCUUUGGAAGAAUGGUUGCAAUGCAUGGACCUGCGAGGUUAUUGAAUGCGUCAAUUACACAGCAAACCAUUUUAUCAUAUCCUACCUGCUUCCUGGAAGAACAGCAAAGCUGAAGUUUUGCCAACUGCUAACAACCAGACAAAUGUCUAAAGGACACAGGAGGUUGAAUUAAGCAGUUCUUCAAAUAAAGGACAUCCUCAGAGGAAGAAGUAGAAUGUGCAAAUAAGAGAACACUUGCAAACAAGAGAACCACCUAUCAAGAAAGAGAACACUUGUAUUUUAUUUCCUGUGAGUCUCCUAAGGAGUACAGCUUAUUUUUCUCUAGAUGUGCAAAUGUAUUCUACAGGAAUGUUUAUAUACAAUUCUCACUGCAUCUAAGCAAACUGCCUCUGGGGAAAAAAAUUGCAACUCAUCCUUUUAAUCCGCCUGUUUGUGAUGGGGCAGUUGACAAACAUCAGGAAAUAUCAUUUAUCACAUAGUGAAACAUGACAUGCUCCCAAGGCUUUACUCAGGGAAUCUUUAAUGUCUACAUAGCAAUGCAAACAAAGUCAGUUUCUUUCAUGAAUGUUGAACUGAACUUUUGAAUUUGCCAAAUCAGUUGGGAUCUACAAUAUCAGUGCAGUACUUGUUUGGUGUGUCUUAAAAUAGGUCUGUUUAAACCAAAUUCUUCACAACAGUCAAAUAGAAAUUGAUGAGCAGGGAAAGAGAUUUGUUAAUUCUGAACACAAUGAAAUCAUGCUGUAUCCUAAGCCAGUUUGGUUUAGUAGUUAAGAUGCUGGCCUAGAAACUAGGAGACUGUGAGUUCUAAUCCCACCUUAGGCAUGAAAGCCAGCUGG
Molecule: long non-coding RNA, 1022 nt
Organism: Crotalus tigris (Tiger rattlesnake)
Lineage: Eukaryota; Metazoa; Chordata; Lepidosauria; Squamata; Viperidae
Exons: 3
Source: RefSeq, a predicted model, not a curated record